This 377-nucleotide ribosomal RNA is filed under the name uncultured eukaryote. Its description in RNAcentral is "partial 18S ribosomal RNA". It matches the Rfam family "Eukaryotic small subunit ribosomal RNA", at positions 592 to 976 of the family's 1831-position model. The record is from RNAcentral.
CAAUAGCGUAUAUUUAAGUUGCUGCAGUUAAAAAGCUCGUAGUUGGAUUUCGGGUGGGAAUGGCCGGUCCGCCGUUUCGGUGUGCACUUGCUACGCCCACCUUGCUGCCGGGGACGUGCUCUUGAGUUCACGCUCGGGACACGGAGUCGGCGAGGUUACUUUGAGUAAAUUAGAGUGUUCAAAGCAGGCCUACGCUCUGAAUACAUUAGCAUGGAAUAACACGAUAGGACUCUGGCCUAUCUUGUUGGUCUGUAGGACCGGAGUAAUGAUUAAGAGGGACAGUCGGGGGCAUUCGUAUUUCAUUGUCAGAGGUGAAAUUCUUGGAUUUAUGAACGACGAACUACUGCGAAAGCAUUUGCCAAGGAUGUUUUCAUUAA